AUUGGGUUCGUAGAUGGACUGAUUCAAAAAGGCAGAGAAGGAUUCACGUACUCACAUGUCAUGGUUACGUUGCGACACUAUGAUUAAAGGAUGGUUGACGAAUGAAAUGGAGAAGGGGAUUGUUGGGUUUAAUGUUGACGUAAGACGUUAUUUUUAGUUUAGUAUUAGUUUUAUUUAGUAAUUGAAUAAAAGAUAGUAGUUCAUGGGUUGAAUGGGUCAUGUGGACCAAGUCUUUUGGAGCUUUUAGAAUGAUAGGUUUAGUGCUGGAAAAGAGGAAAACGUGUGCUUGUUUUUUGUUAGUUCAAUUAGGUUUUGUAGGCUAUAAAAAGCCUUUAGUUUUUUGAAUAUUAAAGCAGCCGUUUUGAGUCGAUAAACAACUCUCCUUCUUCUUAUUAUGUUGCUACAAUGAAGUGAAUAUAAAGGGCCUGAUUUCCAACAAUUGGUAUCAGAGCCUAGGACUCGUUUAGAAGAAUCAGGUUUGAGAGUCGGUAGCGAGAGAGGAGGAGCAGCCCUUGGCUGCAGGGCUGAGAAUGAAAGAAGAUGAUGGUUGUAGGGGCUGAACCAAUAUAUUGAUGUUGCAGUCAAGACCGCCACAAUGAAGAAAGAAAGAAAGAAAGAAAGAAAGAAGAAAGAAAGAAGAUUGUGACAUGCAACCUGUUGGAUGUUGCUUUCUGCAGAAAGAAAGAAACACAAAAAGAGGAUCAAAUGAGGGUGGUUCUCGGCUGUGGUGUAUUCUGGUUUUUGCUGUGGUUUUAAUGGCUCGCAAUGGUGUUGACAGAUGAAAGUCCGGUUGUGGUUGUUCGAUCCCAGAGAUAGCAAAAAUGGCUAUUAAGGAAGAAAGCAAGAAACAAGAUGAAGUAAGCAGAAAGGUUCUUAGCAAGAGAAGACCAAGAGAGCAACAAAGAAAGCAAGAAAACAAGAAGGAGCCUAAGUAUGUUCUAUGUUAGAAAUCAAGAAGCAAGAAAAGAAAGUAGUAUGUAUCAUGUAUCAAGUAGCAGACAAGAAAGAAAGCAAGAAAGAAAGAUAAGCAGCAAGGUAGAUCAUGUUUGUUAAUCAGAAGAAAGAUGCAACAAGUUUGUUGUUUGUUAGCAGGUAAGAAAGAAGAAGCAAGCAGCAAGUGAUUAACAAGCAGGAGAAGGCCCGUUGCUAGAAAGAUUAUAGCAAGAGAAGCAAAUAUCAAGAUUGUCAAGAUUAAGGGGGUGAAUGUUGGGUUUAAUCUUGACAUAAGAUGUUAUUUUUAGUUUAGUAUUAGUUUUAUUUAGUAAUUGAAUAAAAGAUAGUAGUUCAUGGGUUGAAUGGGUCAUGUGGACCAAGUCUUUUGAGCUUUUAGAAUGAUAGGUUUAGUGCUGGAAAAGAGGAAAACGUGUGCUUGUUUUUUGUUAGUUCAAUUAGGUUUUGUAGGCUAUAAAAAGCCUUUAGUUUUCUGAAUAUUAAAGCAGCCGUUUUUAGUCGAUAAACAACUCUCCUUCUUCUUAUUAUGUUGCUGCAGUGAAGUGAAUAUAAAGGGCAUGAUUUCCAACAGGGAUCAUAAGUAGCGUGAAAUAUGCUAACACGACUGCUAAGAUAUGGUCAGAUCUGAAGGAACGGUUUGGAAAAGAAAGCGCCCCUCGGGUGUAUGAAUUAAAGCAAACACUCUCAGCAACCAUUCAAGGUAACACUUUCGUCUCGCCCUAUUUCACCAAACUCAGAAGCAUCUGGGAUGAGAUGCAAUCUACACUUCCUAUUCCUCGUUGUAACUGUAAUUGGUGUUCCUGUGAUGUGGGAAAGAAGUUGGUUGAACACAGAGAAAAAGAAAGACUUUAUGAGUUUCUCAUGGGUUUGAAUAGUGAGUUUUCAGUCAUCAGAACACAAAUUCUUGCAAUGAACCCAACACGCACAUUAGGCAAUGCCUAUCAUCUUGUUGCUGAAAACGAAAAACAAAGGUCCAUAACAGCCGAUAAGCGAGAUUCCGCUGAUGCUGUUGUGUUCGAGGUGUUUGUCCCGGGGCAUCGGAAAAACGGCUCUAGUCAACGACGUGAUAAACCCCUUCCAAGGAUGUGGAGCCUAGAAAUGUCGUUGAGCACUACACCUUGUGUGGGAAAGACGGACACGCUCGAGAUGGGUAUUUCAAGUGGAUAGGAUACCACGAGUGGUGGUCAGGAAACCAGAAGCGUGAGGAAACAAAAUCCAAGGUCACACGUGUUAAGACAGCUCCAGGUCCUAUUGCAGGUUUGACAAGUGAGCAAUAUGAAACAUUUCUAAAGCACUUUUCAAAUAUGAAAAACACCAACAAAGGAAGUACUACACCCAUGGCACGUAUGACAGAAACUCCACUCGAAGCUUGGUUGGUAUUGGGGAAUGCAAAAGGAGUUUGUAGCGGAUGGGGUUGUUCGAAGACGGAAGAAGGGAAAUGAUGACGUCCAGAGAUACCUGGCAUAAAAGAUUAGGUCAUUCGUCUAAUGAAAAGCUAGCUUUCAUUAGUUUUCCUAAUAAAGUUUCUUUCAGUAAAUCUUGUGAUUUUUGCUAAAAAGGCAAAACACACUAGACUUCCUUUUUCGAACAGUGAUAUUAAAACAAACGAUUGCUUUGAAUUAUUGCAUUGUGA
This is a long non-coding RNA of Lactuca sativa (garden lettuce), 2584 nucleotides long. RefSeq lists it as uncharacterized. Lineage: Eukaryota; Viridiplantae; Streptophyta; Magnoliopsida; Asterales; Asteraceae. The record is from RefSeq and is a predicted model, not a curated record.